UUGACCUCGGAUCAGGUAGGGAUACCCGCUGAACUUAAGCAUAUUAAUAAGCGG
This 54-nucleotide ribosomal RNA is filed under the name Aspergillus rambellii. RNAcentral describes it as "partial 28S ribosomal RNA". The record is from RNAcentral. Lineage: Eukaryota; Fungi; Ascomycota; Eurotiomycetes; Eurotiales; Aspergillaceae.